GGUGAUUCCUGUUUCCUCCCAGGUGUGUGAGUUUUGAGCUCUGAUGUAUUUAUUCCUUCCUCGUGGAAGCACAAAGCAGGACGCAGCAGGCAUUCUUUAGCUUCUGUCUGUCAUCCAGUUUGCAACACGCAUUGCUGUUAUAAAAGUCCCUUGUUAAGUAAUUGUGUUUCUCUUGCAUAAGUGUUUGCUUUCAGGAAGCUGUAGCCAAUCAGAGGCUGCAACUCACAGAAAGCAUUCCUAACCACCGUGAUUUCUGAAAAUAAUGCUCUGGUACUGAUCUGCUGGAAGUGCUGGAAAAGCUCUGUAGGUUGGCUCAAGCAGAGGAGACUUCAGUGCCCAUGGUGGCUGAACUACAGCAGUAAGGUGCUGCCAAAGCUCUGUGCUGAGCGGAUCGUCGGUAAAAUGGACUCCAUGCCCAAGCUGAAGAUUUUUGUGAUGUUGCUGUCUCUGGCUACUUUCACAGCCAUGGUGAUACUGAAUGCUGGAAAUGCCACUGGUCUUUUCAAAGGUAAUGCAAGCAAAUGCUUUUUGUUCAGAGAGAUAGUCUUUGCACUGCAUCACUUUCUGAUG
RNAcentral lists this long non-coding RNA (570 nucleotides) under Phasianus colchicus (ring-necked pheasant). RNAcentral describes it as "lncRNA (ENSPCLG00000003656.1)". The record is from RNAcentral. Lineage: Eukaryota; Metazoa; Chordata; Aves; Galliformes; Phasianidae.